AUUGAACGCUGGCGGCGUGCCUAACACAUGCAAGUCGAGCGGUAACAGGUGUAGCAAUACAUGCUGACGAGCGGCGAACGGGUGAGUAAUGCUUCGGAAUCUACCCAAUGGUGGGGAAUAACCAGCCGAAAGGUUGGCUAAUACCGCAUACGUCCCACGGGAGAAAGCAGGGGAUCGCAAGACCUUGCGCCAAUGGAUGAGCCGAAGUCGGAUUAGCUAGUUGGAGGGUAACGGCCUACCAAGGCGACGAUCCGUAGCUGGUCUGAGAGGACGACCAGCCACACUGGGACUGAGACACGGCCCAGACUCCUACGGGAGCAGCAGUGGGGAAUAUUGGACAAGUGGGGGAAACCCUGAUCCAGCGACGCCGCGUGUGUGAAGAAGGCCU
This 388-nucleotide ribosomal RNA is filed under the name uncultured bacterium. RNAcentral describes it as "bacterial SSU rRNA". It matches the Rfam family "Bacterial small subunit ribosomal RNA", at positions 29 to 417 of the family's 1533-position model. The record is from RNAcentral.